RNAcentral lists this ribosomal RNA (468 nucleotides) under uncultured bacterium. Its description in RNAcentral is "partial 16S ribosomal RNA". It matches the Rfam family "Bacterial small subunit ribosomal RNA", at positions 28 to 507 of the family's 1533-position model. The record is from RNAcentral.
GACGAACGCUGGCGGCGUGCUUAACACAUGCAAGUCGGACGGAAAGGCCCUGCUUUUGUGGGGUGCUCGAGUGGCGAACGGGUGAGUAACACGUGAGUAACCUGCCCUUGACUUUGGGAUAACUUCAGGAAACUGGGGCUAAUACCGGAUAGGAGCUCCUGCUGCAUGGUGGGGGUUGGAAAGUUUCGGCGGUUGGGGAUGGACUCGCGGCUUAUCAGCUUGUUGGUGGGGUAGUGGCUUACCAAGGCUUUGACGGGUAGCCGGCCUGAGAGGGUGACCGGCCACAUGGGUACUGAGGUACGGCCCAGUGUUCUACAGGAUGCAGCAGUCGGGAACAUUGCACAGUGGGCGGAAGCCUGAGGCGACAACGCCGCGUGCGGGAAGACGGCCUUCGGGUUGUAAACCGCUUUCGCCUGUGACGAAGCGUGAGUGACGGUAAUGUGUAAAGAAGCACCGGCUAACUACGUG